UACGGAGGAUCCAAGCGUUAUCCGGAUUUAUUGGGUUUAAAGGGUGCGUAGGCGGCUUUUUAAGUCAGGGGUGAAAGACGGUAGCUUAACUAUCGCAGUGCCCUUGAUACUGAAGAGCUUGAAUAUACUUGAGGUAGGCGGAAUGUGACAAGUAGCGGUGAAAUGCAUAGAUAUGUCACAGAACACCAAUUGCGAAGGCAGCUUACUAAGGUAUGAUUGACGCUGAGGCACGAAAGCGUGGGGAUCAAACAGG
RNAcentral lists this ribosomal RNA (253 nucleotides) under Mucilaginibacter sp. RNAcentral describes it as "partial 16S ribosomal RNA". It matches the Rfam family "Bacterial small subunit ribosomal RNA", at positions 524 to 776 of the family's 1533-position model. Lineage: Bacteria; Pseudomonadati; Bacteroidota; Sphingobacteriia; Sphingobacteriales; Sphingobacteriaceae. RNAcentral also lists the same sequence under 2 other names. The record is from RNAcentral.